ACUAGUACAGGUAGAGAUACGCUGUAUACUCACGUAACCGAAUUAACGUUUAAACGAUAUGUAAUAUCGUCGGCCGUGGGGCCACCGCAAGGUGGCUUUUUUUAA
Molecule: small RNA, 105 nt
Filed under: bovine gut metagenome
Description: DUF3800-I RNA
Rfam family: DUF3800-I RNA
About the family: Actinobacteria, Firmicutes, Fusobacteria, Proteobacteria (1 example), Tenericutes (2 examples). Terminator (Clostridia)
Source: RNAcentral